GAUGAAGAACGUAGCGAAAUGCGAUAAGUAAUGUGAAUUGCAGAAUUCAGUGAAUCAUCGAAUCUUUGAACGCACAUUGCGCCCGCUAGUAUUCUGGCGGGCAUGCCUGUCCGAGCGUCAUUUCAACCCUCAAGCCCCCGGGCUUGGUGUUGGGGAUAGGCGAGCCUCCGCGCCCGCCGUCCCCUAAAUCUAGUGGCGGUCUCGCUGUAGCUUCCUCUGCGUAGUAGCACACCUCGCACUGGGAAACAGCGCGGCCACGCCGUUAAACCCCCAACUUCUGAACGUUUGACCUCGGAUCAGGUAGGAAUACCCGCUGAACUUAAGCAUAUCAAUAAGCGGAGGA
Molecule: unclassified non-coding RNA, 343 nt
Filed under: soil metagenome
Description: partial contains 5.8S ribosomal RNA, internal transcribed spacer 2, and large subunit ribosomal RNA
Rfam family: 5.8S ribosomal RNA (bases 1-120)
Source: RNAcentral